GGAGGCCUCUGCCAGUUCCUGUUCUGUUAUUGCAUUUUUAAGGCUCCUGUCCACAGCAGAAUGCCUGCUGGCAGUUACAGUUGAUAAACUAAGUAGGAGUUUCCUGCUCCAGAGGGAGUGAAGGCACUGGCAGCCACCACUGGCAGCUGGAACUCCCAAGCUACUCCACGACGCGGGAGGUUGCCUGGCAGUCAGUUUUGAUGACCAGGCCUAGGAGCCACUCUCAAAUCCAAUUCUCCCUACUUUUGAACCGAUUCAGAAGACUCGGAGACCUUGCUUUUGAAGAAACCCAAACUGGACAGACAGUUACUGAAUUUUUGUAAUGUCCGAGGCUUCCAGGAGGAGUGACACAUAUCUCUGCUGGAUGAGCUCACAGUUCCAAUGAGAAGAUACAAGCUGAAAGAUUGCAGCAGAACUGGGAAGUGAAAGCACGGAGAGGCUGUGGGACAUGGAGGAGGGGCGGUAAGAUUGAGAAAGAGGUAACAGUUGGGGUGACUUUGGACCUGAGACCUGGGCAGGCAUAAGAAGUCUCACUCUCUAUUCCAUUCUUGGCAGGGGAUGUUUCUUUGUACCAGGUAGCUUUGCGCUUGUUUUGUUCCAUAAAAGUAAAUCUCUGUUCACUAAGGAAUUAUGGUAGUGAAUGGUGACUCUCCGGAAUUAUAGGGCUAAUUCCAAAAUAAUCUUAGUUUUAUUCCCCCACAUUGUAAUAUUAACACUUGGGAAUUUUGUUUAUCGCGAUGUUUAAUAAUUUGGCCAGCAGAGGGCACUGCAUACUGACAGUCUCUCCACACCAGUCGCUCAAAUCCUCAAGAGUUCCCGAAGUGUUAGGCUUAACUCAGGGGUGUUUGCAAGUGCUUUGCUCUUCUGUUUCAGACAUAAACAUAUGUCAGAAAUUAAAAGAGGGUUGUGAAGCAGGAAAUUAGAUUAACAGUAGCAUAUAAUUUCCCUCUAUUUGUUAAUAAAGAGAAAAAAUAUUGGUAUGUACACCCAUGUCUACAGGGUUUUAAAUGUAGCUGUAUUAAUUAAUGUAUUAAUAAUAUGAUAACACUACUUCUUGCAUAAAUCAACAUAACUUCUAAAUUCUCUUUGAAAAUAUUUUUGGUUUUAUAUUGUGGUUUAAUUCUCAAUCAUAAACUAAAAAGUAAAAAAACCUGAUGCCUAAUGUUAUACUUUCUUUCAAACCUUAAGAUAGAUAUUAUUGUUUGAAUAGUAUCAAAAUAUUGUGGUUCUGCAC
This 1234-nucleotide long non-coding RNA is filed under the name Homo sapiens (human). RNAcentral describes it as "HSALNT0252750". Lineage: Eukaryota; Metazoa; Chordata; Mammalia; Primates; Hominidae. The record is from RNAcentral.